Non-coding RNA from Mycena latifolia, 88 nucleotides. Lineage: Eukaryota; Fungi; Basidiomycota; Agaricomycetes; Agaricales; Mycenaceae. The record is from the annotation of a GenBank genome assembly.
GGCUUGUUGGCGUAAUGGUAACACAUUCUGUGUACCUUAUGGAACAUUGUUCGACGGCAAGUCCGGAGUUCAAUUCUCCGUCAAGCCA